RNAcentral lists this long non-coding RNA (229 nucleotides) under Brassica rapa (field mustard). RNAcentral describes it as "long non-coding RNA (BRAP_LNC004455)". The record is from RNAcentral. Lineage: Eukaryota; Viridiplantae; Streptophyta; Magnoliopsida; Brassicales; Brassicaceae.
UGAUCUGUGAGCUGUGAAAACUAUCCUUCAAAAUCUUGAGGUCUUCCAAAUAAACUUCAAAAGCUGGUCAUUCCUCUCGUUCCGAAACAAUCUUCACCAAUUGGGAAAAAUCCGUUGCAAAUGUGACCUGGAAUUGACGUAAGUUUCUCAUAUAUUCCAUAGCCCAAAGUAGUGCUUUCAUCUCCGCAUGAAGGGAGGACAGAGGAGCCCUAACAUUCCUUGCGCCCAC